CUAGCAAGACCUGGUGUCCUUACUGAACCACUUCCCCAGAACAACCCUGCUCUACGACCAGGACCAGGCAGCCAGGGAAGGAGACAAGAGACAUUCUUAAAUUUCCCAACCAGGAAACUGGAGGAGGGUCGGUGAUCAGGAGCAGAGGGAAAAGCGAAAGAGAGGAGGAGUUCCCAGCGGCAGUUCUGCCAGAGCUCGGGCGCGGGAGACACAAGCGGCAGACUGCCCCAGACGCCUCACGGCUGCGCGCGAAGACACCGGCGCAGACAGACGCACAGUCGGGGCUCCCCCAUCCUGGGCACAGAGGCGGCGGGUUGGGAAGCCCAGGAAACCCCAGGUUCCCGUCGGAACCCACCCAGCACCCGGUCCCAGCCCGAAGAUCCUAUCAGGAGAACCCGUUGGAACUGAGGGCUGUGUGUGUGACCUUGAACAAGUCGCUUCCUUUUUCUGAAUCUUAAUCUUCUCACCGGCAAAAAAAAAGAAGUGCAAUAGCAGGCCUUCCAGCUCGAGUUGAGCCAGCAGCAGGGGGCGCCGCCUGGACCAGCCUCAGAGGGAACUCAGUGCCAGCCACCCCCAGCCCGCACAGGCUCCUCCUGGCCUAGAUUCGAUCAAUCUUCCUUCCAGCAGAGGCUAGAGGGGAAGAAGCAUGGACACAAAAAUGUGGGGUGGAGACGUCUGCUGGGACCUGAACCCACCUCCGCUGAAGCCUCUUCCUCUCCCCAGCCGCCCAGCUCAUCCCGAAAGGAGCUCCGCCCAUAAGCCCCCUCAUGGCCCCACCCAUCUGAUUCUCACAGUCCUUGAAGGGUAAUGGAGGCAGGGCUUCUGCUGGCAUACAGAUGACAAAACUGAGGCUCAGAAAAGGGAAUUGCCUUGCUCAAGGUCACACAGCUUAUCAGUGGCAGAGCUAAGAUUCCAAACCACCAUCCCCUCCACACUCCCCCACCAUUUACUCUACCAGAUACAUUUCCACCCAGUACCCUGCGACCUCUUUCUUUACACCCUCAACAGAGCAUAGGGAAGAAACAUCAGCCUUGCAUGGCUCUGCAGAUUUGCGGGUGGGGCCAGGACAUGCCAGAGAGAGAUCAGAGAAGAUGCUAGGGGCUACACACGUAGCCCCCAACCCCACCCCAAGCACGGUGCCCACCUGCCCAGCAGGCACGGCCAGUGACUCAGCUGCAUCCGGGGGAGAUGCCAGGGCAGUGACUCACCUACCGAGAAGAGCUGAGACUGGCACCUUGCCAGCCCCAGGACAGAAGUGACUUAGUCACCGAGACUGUGAUACCCAGCAGGCACAGCCCAGGGAUUGGGGACAGGGGCAGGCAGUGCCCUCCAUGAUUAUAUGCACCCCUGGUGAAGAAUAGGCAUCCUGGGGCAAGCCAUGGCUGUACCUGCUGCCCCUGCCCACUCACUCGUGCCCAACCCCACCACGCCAGGCCCUGCUCCAGGGUAGACAAGCUUUGUGAGACCCCUGGGCUGCCCUGUCCCUCUGCAGCCUGUCCCUUGCCCAUCACUCACCACCUACUCUCCCAUCAUCAGCCCCGCCUCCUCCUGCCACCCAAGUUGUACCCAGGCUGUGAGUCUCCUUUAACAUGUCUUGGCAGCACCUCCUGCCCCCACAGCCCCUCUCACCCCCUCCACGCACACAUGCACUCAUACACACUU
Molecule: long non-coding RNA, 1662 nt
Organism: Camelus dromedarius (Arabian camel)
Lineage: Eukaryota; Metazoa; Chordata; Mammalia; Artiodactyla; Camelidae
Exons: 5
Source: RefSeq, a predicted model, not a curated record